This 687-nucleotide ribosomal RNA is filed under the name uncultured beta proteobacterium. RNAcentral describes it as "bacterial SSU rRNA". It matches the Rfam family "Bacterial small subunit ribosomal RNA", at positions 9 to 691 of the family's 1533-position model. Lineage: Bacteria; Pseudomonadati; Pseudomonadota; Betaproteobacteria. The record is from RNAcentral.
GAGUUUGAUCCUGGCUCAGAUUGAACGCUGGCGGCAUGCCUUACACAUGCAAGUCGAACGGUAACGCGGGGCAACCUGGCGACGAGUGGCGAACGGGUGAGUAAUGCAUCGGAACGUGCCCAGUAGUGGGGGAUAGCCCGGCGAAAGCCGGAUUAAUACCGCAUACGACCUACGGGUGAAAGCGGGGGACUCGCAAGAGCCUCGCGCUAUUGGAGCGGCCGAUGUCAGAUUAGCUAGUUGGUGGGGUAAAAGCCUACCAAGGCGACGAUCUGUAGCUGGUCUGAGAGGACGACCAGCCACACCGGGACUGAGACACGGCCCAGACUCCUACGGGAGGCAGCAGUGGGGAAUUUUGGACAAUGGGCGCAAGCCUGAUCCAGCCAUGCCGCGUGCGGGAAGAAGGCCUUCGGGUUGUAAACCGCUUUUGUCAGGGAAGAAACGCUCUGGGCUAAUACCCUGGGGUAAUGACGGUACCUGAAGAAUAAGCACCGGCUAACUACGUGCCAGCAGCCGCGGUAAUACGUAGGGUGCAAGCGUUAAUCGGAAUUACUGGGCGUAAAGCGUGCGCAGGCGGUUAUGCAAGACAGAUGUGAAAUCCCCGGGCUCAACCUGGGAACUGCAUUUGUGACUGUAUAGCUAGAGUACGGUAGAGGGGGAUGGAAUUCCGCGUGUAGCAGUGAAAUGCGU